UACGAAGGGGGCUAGCGUUGCUCGGAAUCACUGGGCGUAAAGGGUGCGUAGGCGGGUCUUUAAGUCAGGGGUGAAAUCCUGGAGCUCAACUCCAGAACUGCCUUUGAUACUGAAGAUCUUGAGUUCGGGAGAGGUGAGUGGAACUGCGAGUGUAGAGGUGAAAUUCGUAGAUAUUCGGAAGAACACCAGUGGCGAAGGCGGCACUCAGGUCCGGUACUGACGCUGAGGUGCGAAAGCGUGGGGAGCAAACAGG
This 253-nucleotide ribosomal RNA is filed under the name uncultured bacterium. RNAcentral describes it as "partial 16S ribosomal RNA". It matches the Rfam family "Bacterial small subunit ribosomal RNA", at positions 524 to 776 of the family's 1533-position model. The record is from RNAcentral.